This 1446-nucleotide long non-coding RNA is filed under the name Anas zonorhyncha (Eastern spot-billed duck). RNAcentral's name for it is "lncRNA (ENSAZOG00000008065.1)". The record is from RNAcentral. Lineage: Eukaryota; Metazoa; Chordata; Aves; Anseriformes; Anatidae.
UUACUAGUAGCGUAAUGCCUUUAUCAUUUUUACCUUUGCAAACCCCACGCGCUGGGGGGCUGAUUUUGGGGUGUGGGGGUGCCUGGUGUCCCCCCAGGUGUCCAACGUGACGGUGCCGGCGCAGACGUUCGCGGAGGCGGUGGCGCUGCCCGGGCUGACCUUCGCGGCCGCGCGCUUCGACGGCGUCCUGGGCCUGGCCUUCCCCGGCGCCGCCGCCGGCCCCGCCGUGCCCGUGUUCGACAACAUGAUGCGCCUGCGCCUCUUCCGAAACAACGUCUUCGCCUUCCGCCUCCGCAGGCACGGUGACCGGCCCCGACACGGCCCGAUACGGCCCNNNNNNNNNNCGGUGGCGCUGCCCGGGCUGACCUUCGCGGCCGCGCGCUUCGACGGCGUCCUGGGCCUGGCCUUCCCCGGCGCCGCCGCCGGCCCCGCCGUGCCCGUGUUCGACAACAUGAUGCGCCUGCGCCUCUUCCGAAACAACGUCUUCGCCUUCCGCCUCCGCAGGUGUCGCAGUGGGGGGCCCCCACCUGCGUGAGCGGCUUCAUGGGGCUGGACGUGCCCCCCCCCGCCGGCCCCCUCUGGAUCCUGGGCGACGUCUUCCUGGCCCAGCACUACGCCGUCUUCGACCGCGACCACCAGCGCGUGGGGCUGGCGCCCAGCACCUGACCCCCUCCCAGUGCUCCCAGUCCGGCUCCCAGUCCGGACCAGUAGCCGCCCGGGCGCCCCCCACUUGCACCCCCGGCGCCACCAAUAAAGGCUCUGCUCCACAGGAUCCUGCUCACGGGGCUUUGCUGGCCCCCCGCAGUGUCCUCCCAGUAGCUCCCAGUAAGCCCCAGUAGCUCCCAGUGACUCCCAGUAGCCCCCAGUGAUCCCAGUCCCUCCGUAGUAAGUCUCCCAGUAGCCCUUAGCAUAAAGGAACUGGAAUCACUAAGUGUCCCAGUGCUCCCAGUGCCUUCCCAGUAGCUCCCAGUAAGCCCCAGUGACUCCCAGUAGCCCCCAGUGAUCCCAGUUCCUUUGUGGGAAGUCUCCCAGUAGCCCUUAGUGAUCCCAGUUCCUUUGUACUAAGUCUCUCAGUGCUCCCAGCGCCUUCCCAGUAGCUCCCAGUAAGCCCUAGCACCUUCCCAGUAGCUCCCAGUAGCCCCCAGUGCUCCCAGUCCCUCUGUAGUAAGUCUCCCAGUAGCCCCCAGUGAUCCCAGUUCCUUCCUAGGACGUCUCCCAGUAGCCCUUAGUGAUUCCAGUUCCUUUAUACUAAGUCUCCCAGUAGCUCCCAGUAACCCCCAGUAAGCCCCAGUGCUCCCAGUGCCUUCCCAGCAGGUCUCCCAGUAACUCCCAGUAGCCCCCAGUGCUCCCAGUCCCUUUCCCACUGCGUCUCCCACCAUGUCCCAGUGCUCCCAGUUCCAUCCCAGUACCCCCCAGUACUCCCAGUUCCCCCCACAACCCCUCCCA